Long non-coding RNA from Scylla paramamosain (green mud crab), 2610 nucleotides. RefSeq lists it as uncharacterized. Lineage: Eukaryota; Metazoa; Arthropoda; Malacostraca; Decapoda; Portunidae. The record is from RefSeq and is a predicted model, not a curated record. The transcript has 5 exons.
GAGCGAGGAGCGGGAGCAGGCGGGGAAAGCGGCGGGCAUAAAUUGCAGGUGCGAUCAGGUGUAUUUACCAAGUAUCAUCCCCAAUACUUUAUAUUUUCAUCCAUGAAUGGCACGCACAAGUAAAACAUUUAUUAUUUUCACAGGGAAUCACUCGGAGUCCCGGCAGUUAGUGAGAAUACGUGAGGAGAGGUGUCAUGCCCGUCGUCACGCAAACUGGGGAGGUGGGAGGGACUGAGGAGGAAGCUGGAGGACGUGCUGACAAGGCGUCAGAGUUCCUGCAGCAGCGGCGGGCGGAGUGUGUGAUCCCGCGGCUGGUGAAGAAACCUAGAGACAUUUGUGCUUCUUCGUGGCUCCUGGAGCUGCGCGGUUCUUCGUCUUCAUGUUCUGGGAUAGGGGGGUGACCUGUGUGACGCCACCACUCCUCGCCUUCCAUAUCUCCAUAUCGCCUUCCAUAUAAAAGGUAAGGACCUUUUAUAACAUCUCUCCCCUAUGUAGUUAUAUGAACGUCUUACUACUUAUAUAUACUGGUAUGCUACAUAGACCCAGGCAGCUUGCAGAGGAAUAGACGAAAGUUCAGCCACAGUGAGUGCCGCUGCCUGGCGUCCCUCGGCCCCGCGCUGUUGCCGCCGAUGCUUCCCCACUCCACCACCACUCUUGGUUUUCCUCAUGUGUUCUUGUUUCGUGUCCCUACGUUAUGCUGAGCUUAUUCCAAGGCAUAUACAAGUUGGGGUAAGUCCUACAAGUGGUAAUAAUCUAGUGGAUGGGCAUGGUCGUUGUGGUAAUAAGGGUGGUGGCGGUGGUGGUGGCGUAAUGUUAGGUCUGGUUAUGCCUUGUGCAUAGUGAUGUCGCUCGUUUUGUCAUUAUUAUAGUUUGUUUCCAGCAUAUACGGCAAGCAUAGUUAACUGGGUGGUGGUAUUAUCAUAAUUCUAAUGGCUAUGUGAUGAAAGAGCCGGUGAUUUGCCAGGCGGAAGGCGGUGGCGCGGCGAGGACCAGCUGGCUGUGUAACAUGACUUACCGCUAUGGACUUUCCACCUUCCUAGCCUCAUUACCUCAUUACUCUUAUUUCCUCAUCUGUUUUAUGACACGCAUCUAAUACAUUGCCACCCCUCACUCAGGUUCUUAAGGAGUUUGAAGAGAAUGAAAGCCAAAUAGCGCUGAUAAUCCAGGUGGCGGCGGCGUCGAGACAUAGGAAGGUGGAGGGAGGAGAGAUGCUUCAACGCCGGGCUGCCACACACCGCGCGCAUCAUAUUUUAUUUUAUGCAUUACGCUACAUAUGUAUGUUCAUUAUAUACAGGUGGUUGGAGUCUUUAAACAAGAUGCUGAUGAGUACUUAAGGUCAUUUAAAGAAAUAGCGGGGAAUUAUAUUAAAAGAUCCCGUGACUUGACCGAGUGACGUCAAGAUGGCGGAGAAGAGAGCCGGGAGAGUCUUGCUGGAGCUGGCGCUACCUCUCCUUGUUAUCCUAUUGUAUUUACCUAAUCUUUAUUUUAUUACCUCCUAUCUGCGUUUCCUCAUUUGUUUAUAACUUAAGAGACAUUUACAUGUAGUCAUUUCUCACUCAGUGUAUCAGUUUCAAGAGUAAAAUCACGCUCAUGCUGGUGAUGGUGGCGGUGGCUUAAGGGGAGGGAGCUGGGUGAGCCUGUGUGUGGAAGUGCUCGCUCCCUCCCACCACUCUUACGGUUUUAAGGGGUUUAAGAAGUGUGAUUUAUUUUAUGUAGUGCAUGUGUGGAGGUGGUCGGAUGUGUACGCGAUGAUUUAACUUUUUUCAAUAGAUGAGUGAGUGCAUAACAUUGGCGUCAUCGAGGGACACCGGCGAGGGAACACCAGUUGUCCUCGCCUCACUCGGAAGGUUAGGGAGGUUUGCACUGAUGUUCAUCUUUUUUUUCAGCAACUUAAUUUCUUUUUGGACUCUUAAUAGUUAUUGAAGUGACUGAAGUGACGGAAGUGUACCAGCCCAUGUGAAGUCUUCUCCUGGCCCUCGGUGAAGCCACGCAGUUUACGAGUGGGUGGUCUGGGGUCCAUUUGCCUGCCACGGGGUCGAGAGGCUGUCAAAUCGCGCAGGUAAAUAAAUAGAUGGGAUAUGCCUUGAUAAUUUGUCAUGAGAUAUAGUUAUGUAAUGUGAUGUGAUGUGCCUUUUGCUUGUCCGCUAAAUAACACUGCAACCUUGUCUUGGAGUUUCUCUUCAGCUUAGUAGUGUCUUGUCUGGGAGUCUUUGCCUGCCACGGAGCCGAGACGCAGUGGUGGGCCCGGUUAGCCAGUGAAGUGCUGGCCACGACGGAGGCGCAGGGUUGCCGAUAUUCAGGUGGAUGUGGAAAGGUCAGCCCACAGAGGUCAUCGCGGAUUUGUGUUCAGUUUCUAGACUUCUGGCGCCCUUGUGGAUUGAGGGAGAGGGGGAUGCCUUAGACACUUGGGUGCAGUGAGGCCUCGGAUGCUUUUCACCUUCCCAAGACCAAAAGUGGCGUAAUCACACUGAGGAGGAAAUAUCUGCGUUUUCAUUAACCCGCAAGGAGCAGCAAUGGGAAAGGCAGACGCUGGAUCCCUACCUAAUAGUAAGAGCUGUUUGUCAUUGUUACUUUCAUCGACUGCUUCUGGUAAAGGUAUUCUAGUUACAA